Molecule: long non-coding RNA, 442 nt
Filed under: Capra hircus (goat)
Lineage: Eukaryota; Metazoa; Chordata; Mammalia; Artiodactyla; Bovidae
Description: lncRNA (ENSCHIG00000004972.1)
Source: RNAcentral
CUGACCUGCUGGUUUCCCAUGGUGCAGCUCCACGCACUCUGACCUGCUGGUUUCCCAUGGUGCACCUCCACGCACUCUGACCUGCUGGUUUCCCAUGGUGCACCUCCACGCACUCUGACCUACUGGUUUCCCAUGAUGCACCUCCAUGCACUCUGACCUGCUGAUUUCCCACGGUGUGGAUUCCCAUUGUUUCCCAUUGUUCUUGGUGAGGAUUCCAGGUUGGCCCAUCUUCCCCCAUACUCUUGGGGUUCGUACGAAUUAUUCUUUUGGAUGGAACGCACAACAAAUACAACUGAUAACUGACCACUGAACAAUGAAGGAAUUGUGGGGAAAACCAAGCUGGUCCUAAGUAUCUGAGCUUCUGCAUCCGUGGAUUCAACCAGCUGCUUCCCUGAUGAAUGCACUGUAAUAUCCACGUGUGAGUGGACCCACGCGAUUCUGU